GAUGAACGCUAGCGGGAGGCCUAAUACAUGCAAGUCGAACGGUAAGGUCCCUUCGGGGAUACACGAGUGGCGGACGGGUGCGUAACGCGUACGAAACAUACCUUCAACAGGGAGAUACCUCCGGGAAACUGGAAAUAAUACCCCAUAGUAUUGAGAUAUCGCAUGAUAUUUCAAUUAAAGCUUUGGCGGUUGAAGAUUGUCGUGCGUCUGAUUAGCUAGUUGGUGAGGUAACGGCUCACCAAGGCGACGAUCAGUAGCUGGUCUGAGAGGAUGAUCAGCCACACUGGAACUGAGACACGGUCCAGACUCCUACGGGAGGCAGCAGUAGGGAAUAUUGGACAAUGGGCGGAAGCCUGAUCCAGCCAUCCCGCGUGUAGGAAUAAGGCCCUAU
RNAcentral lists this ribosomal RNA (391 nucleotides) under uncultured bacterium. RNAcentral describes it as "bacterial SSU rRNA". It matches the Rfam family "Bacterial small subunit ribosomal RNA", at positions 28 to 420 of the family's 1533-position model. The record is from RNAcentral.